GUCUACGGCCAUGCCACCCUGAACAAGCCCAAUCCCGUCUGAUCUCGGAAGCUAAGCAGAGUCGGCGCUGGUUAGUACUUGGAUGGGAGACCACCUAGGAAGACCAGGUGCUGUAGGCG
This 119-nucleotide ribosomal RNA is filed under the name Pteropus alecto (black flying fox). Lineage: Eukaryota; Metazoa; Chordata; Mammalia; Chiroptera; Pteropodidae. The record is from RNAcentral.